RNAcentral lists this long non-coding RNA (438 nucleotides) under Erythranthe guttata (spotted monkey flower). RNAcentral's name for it is "long non-coding RNA (EGUT_LNC003846)". Lineage: Eukaryota; Viridiplantae; Streptophyta; Magnoliopsida; Lamiales; Phrymaceae. The record is from RNAcentral.
UCCGGUCCGGUUAUAUGUGAAAACCCGAAAAGCCCAAAAAACCGGUUCAACUGCCAAAAUCCCGGUUCCACCGGUAAAAACCGGUUAACUCGGAACCCAGUCGAAAACCGGUUUUCAGCUCAAAAAAAAAAUUCAUGGUCGGAUCUAUGUCAAUGGUGGUCGUUGGUGAUUGAAUCUUGUCGGAAAAGUUUGUUGGUGAACAGAUCUGGGUAGUAUGUGACCCAAUCCAAGUGGUGGCCGCCAUAGCUUUCCAUCGAAGAAACAAAAACGAAGAAGAUGAAAGUGAAAAUGAAGAAAAAAAUGAAAAAAUAAGUUGAGGAAAUAGAGUAUAUAUUUGGGUGGAAAUGAGGAUAAUUAAGAAUAAACAACAAUGAAGAAGAGAAGAAAAGAAGGAGAGAAGAAGAGAAGAAGGAGAUGGGGUCUGUGAAGACGAGAGGA